Molecule: long non-coding RNA, 315 nt
Organism: Puntigrus tetrazona (Sumatra barb)
Lineage: Eukaryota; Metazoa; Chordata; Actinopteri; Cypriniformes; Cyprinidae
Exons: 2
Source: RefSeq, a predicted model, not a curated record
CCAAUCCAGUGUGAUGAACGUCAAGCUCAUGCUCAUAAAGAUGAAGCCCAGAGCAGUGAAGCAGGCUGCCUGAAACACAAGAGCAGGAUCUUUUAAUGACUACAAACAUCUGACUUAAAGAAAUAUAAAACCAGGAAAGCUAUAUAGUCGGACAUCACCAUAUAACUCUGCCAACAAAGUGUCUCAUUACCGGGAAGAGCACAACAGGAACAGUCAGAGUCACAGCCACCAGCACUGCCAGACGCACACACAGGAUGAGAGUGUCCAGAGGAUCCACCUUGCUGUAGGUGUGUAGAAGUUCUGCUUCUGUGUUUA